GGCAUCUCAGUUCGGAUUGUAGUCUGCAACUCGACUACAUGAAGCUGGAAUCGCUAGUAAUCGCGAAUCAGAAUGUCGCGGUGAAUACGUUCCCGGGUCUUGUACACACCGCCCGUCACACCAUGGGAGUUGGGAAUGCCCGAAGCCGGUGACCUAACCGCAAGGAAGGAGCCGUCGAAGGCAGGCUUGAUAACUGGGGUGAAGUCGUAACAAGGUAGC
Molecule: ribosomal RNA, 219 nt
Filed under: uncultured bacterium
Lineage: Bacteria
Description: partial 16S ribosomal RNA
Rfam family: Bacterial small subunit ribosomal RNA
Source: RNAcentral